AUUGAACGCUGGCGGCAGGCCUAACACAUGCAAGUCGAGCGGUUGAGGUAGCUUGCUACCGAAGCAGCGGCGGACGGGUGAGUAAUACAUGGGAAUCUGCCUGGUAGUGGGGGACAACGUUUCGAAAGGAACGCUAAUACCGCAUACGCCCUACGGGGGAAAGGGGGGGAUCUUCGGACCUCUCGCUAUCAGAUGAGCCCAUGUCGGAUUAGCUAGUUGGUGGGGUAAAGGCCUACCAAGGCGACGAUCCGUAACUGGUCUGAGAGGAUGAUCAGUCAAACGGGAACGGAGACACGGUCCAGACUCCUACGGGAGGCGGCAGUGGGGAAUAUUGGACAAGGGGCGCAAGCCUGAUCCAGCCAUGCCGCGGGUGUGAAGAAGGCCUUAGGGUUGUAAAGCACUUUCAGUGGGGAGAAAGGUGAUUCACCUAAUACGUGAGUCAAUUGAUGUUACCCACAGAAGAAGCACCGGCUAACUCCGUGCCAGCCGCCGCCGUAA
RNAcentral lists this ribosomal RNA (498 nucleotides) under uncultured bacterium. Its description in RNAcentral is "partial 16S ribosomal RNA". It matches the Rfam family "Bacterial small subunit ribosomal RNA", at positions 30 to 523 of the family's 1533-position model. The record is from RNAcentral.